Long non-coding RNA from Lycium barbarum (goji berry), 373 nucleotides. RefSeq lists it as uncharacterized. The transcript is spliced from 2 exons. The record is from RefSeq and is a predicted model, not a curated record. NCBI's taxonomy places the organism in Eukaryota, Viridiplantae, Streptophyta, Magnoliopsida, Solanales, Solanaceae.
UAUGGGCGCUCUUAGAUUCGUAUUCUAACGUAGAUUAUAUAUUUGAUAGACUCUGUCCGUUCGGAAGCACUUCAGAAGGAAAAAGCUUUGGCGUGAAAGUUCGUGACACCUGUUCGGCAUUGAGAGUUAUUUUCAGGUGAUGUUCGGAGUCUCACGACCGUUUCGAGGCAUUCGUCAAAGGCGUUUGGGUGAGCUAUUUGAGAUCUUGCAACCCAGAGUCUCUCCUUAGAUUUCUGUUGUUCUCUAUCCUUAAACAGAAGUCGUAUCCAGUUUGAGUCUGUUAUCUACUUCAAAUUGUAAACUUCUUAGAAGCUCUUGUAUGAGUCUAGACCAGGUUUUGGGAAUUUCUUAUAAUAAAAGUAUUUAUUCCGCA